This 71-nucleotide transfer RNA is filed under the name Camelus dromedarius (Arabian camel). It matches the Rfam family "tRNA". Rfam says of the family: Transfer RNA (tRNA) molecules are approximately 80 nucleotides in length. Their secondary structure includes four short double-helical elements and three loops (D, anti-codon, and T loops). The record is from Rfam by way of RNAcentral. RNAcentral also lists the same sequence under 1 other name. Lineage: Eukaryota; Metazoa; Chordata; Mammalia; Artiodactyla; Camelidae.
GAGGGUGUAGCUCAGUGGUAGAGAACGUGCUCAGCAUGCACGAGGUCGUGGGUUCAAUCCCCAGUCCCUCC